CCUACGGGUGGCUGCAGUGGGGAAUAUUGCGCAAUGGGGGAAACCCUGACGCAGCAAUGCCGCGUGAGUGAGGAAGGAUUUCGGUCUGUAAAGCUCUGUUAAUGUGGAAGAAUGAGACGUGGUCUAAUAGGCCAUGUAAGUGACGGUACACAUAGAGGAAGCACCGGCUAACUUCGUGCCAGCAGCCGCGGUAAUACGAAGGGUGCAAGCGUUGUUCGGAUUUAUUGGGCGUAAAGCGCGCGCAGGCGGACCUGUAAGUCAGAUGUGAAAUCUCG
Molecule: ribosomal RNA, 275 nt
Filed under: uncultured Bacteriovorax sp.
Lineage: Bacteria; Pseudomonadati; Bdellovibrionota; Bacteriovoracia; Bacteriovoracales; Bacteriovoracaceae
Description: partial 16S ribosomal RNA
Rfam family: Bacterial small subunit ribosomal RNA
Source: RNAcentral